CCUACGGGAGGCAGCAGUGGGGAAUCUUGCACAAUGGAGGAAACUCUGAUGCAGCGAUGCCGCGUGAGUGAAGAAGGCCUUUGGGUUGUAAAGCUCUUUUGUAGGGGAAGAUAAUGACUGUACCCUAAGAAUAAGGUCCGGCUAACUUCGUGCCAGCAGCCGCGGUAAUACGAAGGGACCUAGCGUAGUUCGGAAUUACUGGGCGUAAAGCGCGCGUAGGCCGUUGAGUUAGUUAAUUGUGAAAUCCCAAAGCUUAACUUUGGAACUGCAAUUAAAACUGCUCGACUAGAGUUUGAUAGAGGAAAGCGGAAUACAUAGUGUAGAGGUGAAAUUCGUAGAUAUUAUGUAGAACACCAGUUGCGAAGGCGGCUUUCUGGAUCAACACUGACGCUGAGGCGCGAAAGUAUGGGUAGCAAAGAGGAUUAGAUACCCUCGUAGUCCAUACCAUAAACGAUGAUUNUNUANAUGUGUAAUUAUUUACUAUAU
RNAcentral lists this ribosomal RNA (486 nucleotides) under uncultured bacterium. RNAcentral describes it as "bacterial SSU rRNA". It matches the Rfam family "Bacterial small subunit ribosomal RNA", at positions 338 to 842 of the family's 1533-position model. The record is from RNAcentral.